RNAcentral lists this transfer RNA (72 nucleotides) under Heterocephalus glaber (naked mole-rat). It matches the Rfam family "tRNA". From Rfam's summary of the family: Transfer RNA (tRNA) molecules are approximately 80 nucleotides in length. Lineage: Eukaryota; Metazoa; Chordata; Mammalia; Rodentia; Bathyergidae. The record is from Rfam by way of RNAcentral.
AGGGAUAUAGCUCAGUGGUAGGGCACUUGCCUAGCAUGUAUGAGGCCCUAGGUUAAAUUUCUAGUACUGCCA